This 308-nucleotide long non-coding RNA is filed under the name Gallus gallus (chicken). The record is from RNAcentral. Lineage: Eukaryota; Metazoa; Chordata; Aves; Galliformes; Phasianidae.
GCUCCUCCGUAGAGAGAUUGUUCCUGGCUGCUGUACUAAACAAAAAGGACACAGUGUUAGUUAUUUUUGCCAGGUCACCAACAUUAACCUCAAUCCCAGAUGUCUGCAGUCUCUGACACAGUUCAACUGUAUUUACACCUGGGAUCUUAUGGUUCAGAUGUUGAAUUAUCUGCUCACAUAGUUCUGCAAAGAAGUCUUGAGGUAUCAAAUUAAUCUUAUCUGCUGCACCACCAACAUCCAGCGCCUCCAGGGCCCGCGUCAGCAACACCACAGAGCCGGCAGCCAUAGCACCGCGACCUCGACGAGAA